UACGGAGGGUGCAAGCGUUAUCCGGAUUCACUGGGUUAAAGGGUGCGUAGGUGGGUCUGUAAGUCCGUGGUGAAAUCUCCGAGCUUAACUUGGAAACUGCCAUGGAUACUAUAGAUCUUGAAUACUGUGGAGGUUAGCGGAAUAUGUCAUGUAGCGGUGAAAUGCUUAGAUAUGACAUAGAACACCAAUUGCGAAGGCAGCUGGCUACACAAAUAUUGACACUGAUGCACGAAAGCGUGGGGAUCAAACAGG
Molecule: ribosomal RNA, 252 nt
Filed under: uncultured bacterium
Lineage: Bacteria
Description: partial 16S ribosomal RNA
Rfam family: Bacterial small subunit ribosomal RNA
Source: RNAcentral